Molecule: ribosomal RNA, 404 nt
Filed under: uncultured bacterium
Lineage: Bacteria
Description: bacterial SSU rRNA
Rfam family: Bacterial small subunit ribosomal RNA
Source: RNAcentral
UGGGGAAUAUUGCACAAUGGGGGAAACCCUGAUGCAGCGACGCCGCGUGAGUGAGGAAGUAUUUCGGUAUGUAAAGCUCUAUCAGCAGGGAAGAAGAAAUGACGGUACCUGACUAAGAAGCCCCGGCUAACUACGUGCCAGCAGCCGCGGUAAUACGUAGGGGGCAAGCGUUAUCCGGAUUUACUGGGUGUAAAGGGAGCGCAGGCGGCAUGAUAAGUCUGAUGUGAAAACCCAAGGCUCAACCAUGGGACUGCAUUGGAAACUGUCGUGCUGGAGUGUCGGAGAGGUAAGCGGAAUUCCUAGUGUAGCGGUGAAAUGCGUAGAUAUUAGGAGGAACACCAGUGGCGAAGGCGGCUUACUGGACGAUGACUGACGCUGAGGCUCGAAAGCGUGGGGAGCAAACA